RNAcentral lists this ribosomal RNA (254 nucleotides) under uncultured bacterium. Its description in RNAcentral is "partial 16S ribosomal RNA". It matches the Rfam family "Bacterial small subunit ribosomal RNA", at positions 524 to 776 of the family's 1533-position model. The record is from RNAcentral.
UACGAAGGUGGCAAGCGUUACUCGGAUUUACUAGGCGUAAAGGGCAGGUAGGUGGUUUGAUAAGUCUGCUGUGUAAGCUCCCGGCUUAACUGGGAGAGGUCAGCGGAUACUGUCAGGCUUGAGUAUGGGAGAGGGUACUGGAAUUCCUGGUGUAGCGGUGAAAUGCGCAGAUAUCAGGAGGAACACCAAUUGCGAAGGCAGCUCGCUGGGACGUUACUGACGCUGAGACGCGAAAGCGUGGGGGAGCAAACAGG